Synchiropus splendidus (mandarinfish) is the source of this 1718-nucleotide long non-coding RNA. RefSeq lists it as uncharacterized. The record is from RefSeq and is a predicted model, not a curated record. NCBI's taxonomy places the organism in Eukaryota, Metazoa, Chordata, Actinopteri, Syngnathiformes, Callionymidae. The transcript is spliced from 4 exons.
GCCGGCACUCUCGCUCUCUUUCUUUCUCUGGGAGCCUCCACGGUGGUCGGGUCUGCGGGCGUGAAUGGCUGCAGGAGCUGGGCCCAGGAUGUCACUGCUUUCUCUGCUUAUUCCCGGCGGCACGCUCUCCCGGGCCUGCUGACAGCCAGCUGUUGAAGGUGUGUCUGACUGGAGGGAAACAGCAGUCUUGGAACCAGUCGCUGCCUGGUUUGAGUGACGUUUGUUUCCUUCACCUGAUGAGCGACCUGUGACCUUCAGAUGAUCCUUCAAAAUGUGUCUCUGGCACAUGAGGGAUCUGAAGAUGCAACCCGGCCAGAGCGACCUGUUUUGAACCCACUCCCUGCCCACCACACACUGACGGACCAGGACAAACAAGUGGGAGGAAACCAGAGUGCCAGGAGGAAAUCCCUCCAAACACAGGGAAACAAAUCCAAUACAAACAGCGCACAGAAAGGACAACGUUUCACACAAAACAGUUGCUUCAAGCUGCAUUCAAACCCGCGACCUUCCUGCUGUGAGGCUGCAGCACUAACCACUGCCCCACACUGCUGCCUGUGAUGGACUUUUAUAUUCUUCAGUUCAUUUGCUAUUAAAAGUGAAAAAGAAAAAAUGACCACGAGGAGUAAAAGUUACACUGAGUAGGAUAAUGUACCUUUACGUUUUCAUACUUGUUUUGGGAACAUUUUUCUGGACUAAUCUCUGACAAUCCGGACGAAAGAAAACAUGGGAUUUCUUUGUUUUUCUCUUAAAGUUGGAGCAUAUCCAUGACAACACUGACAUUUCUGCUUGUUAUGCAAGCCAGUGUGUGAUCCCUGCGAAUUAGUAUGUUUGUUUUAGUGUGUGUGUGAGUGUGUGUGUGAGUGUGUGUGUGUGUGUGAGUUCUGGAGCGGGGGUGACAUAUGCGUGUACUCACCUGCCUAUCUGCCUAUUCCAGAAGCCCUGAGCAAUCUCGUGUAGUAUCGCACGCAGCCUCUCUACUCCCACACAAGACCUGCGGCAACAGUGCGGCCACUUAAAAACGUACAAGGCAAACCCCAAAUUAACUCUUAAUACUAUUUUCUCCAGGUGCAAGUAACAGCAGAUCCACUCCAAACUCCGUCGCACUCAAAAGUAAGAUAUGUAAUGUUUAUAUUUUCUCUAAACUAUCAGCCGAAUUAAGCUCAUAUUUAGGCAUUUCUGAGGUCCAGAAUAUUGUUGAUGCAACAGGAAUUCAUUUUUAUAACAUUUGGCCUCGAGUGAGUUAAAUUGUUUGCUUCAAAGGAAAAAAAGAUGUUGCUCCUGAAACCAGUCGUAUCUUGAUGAAAUAAUGACAUGAUGUAUUUUUAUAGUGCCAGAUAAAACAUGCUGUUUGAGGAAUGUUUGACAAUAAAAGUGCCACAUUAAUAAUAAUUCUAUCAUUUAAAAUGUUUUCUGUAUCACCACAGAGAUCACAGCAAUGAAUUAUAUAUAAAGUUCAUAAUUAUGAAUAUAAUGAAUUAAAAAUGUUUUUUUAAUUAUAAAUAUGUUACUGUCUUCUGUUGUUGUCACACUGAAUAUAUUUAUGUUGGCUAAAGCUAUUUGUGUGAGUCGGUUUUCUGUUUCAAGUCAAUAAAAGUUCACCUCAGCAGUUUUGUUUUAUCGUACUUCAAAUUAUUGUAUCGUCUUGAAACCAAAAGUAAAAGACAAAAAGAUACAAUAUUUCAAACAAGUUUAUCUAUAAUGUAUGGAGUUUUAGUUAU